Molecule: long non-coding RNA, 2131 nt
Organism: Alnus glutinosa
Lineage: Eukaryota; Viridiplantae; Streptophyta; Magnoliopsida; Fagales; Betulaceae
Exons: 2
Source: RefSeq, a predicted model, not a curated record
CACCAUAAGGUUAGCUUAGGAAAUUGCGUGGUUAGCAACCCUCUCUCUCUCUCUCCCUCUCGGUCUCUAUAUUUAGUGGGGAGCUGGGGUGCAAUAUCAACCCCACAUCUUCCUUCUUUCCCUCUGAAAACCCCACAACACUAGCCACCCCCCUUAAAUCCUCUAAGCUUUGCUUGUUUUUUGCCAAUUCAAUAGGUUUUGUGGGGCUCUGAAACACCAUUUGAUUAUGACCUAGUUCCCAUCUCCCGGCCAAAAUCUUUCUACAUCCUCCAUAAAUAUCCCUGUCUCCUCCUUCUUCUAUCCUCUUCAGGCUUCAAUCACCCCCUCCCUCUCUCCCCAAACUCCUGCUACCUACUUCAUCCAUAUAUCUCUCUCGCCAUGAUCUUCAGGAAGAUCAGCUUGAUAGGGUUGAAGAUCAUGUUAUCCAUACACAUAUGCAUAUGCACAUAUAUAUAUAUAUUUUUGAUAACCCGGGUAUCCAAAACUUUGCCCCGACUAGAUCUUGAAACACCGUGCAAAGCACCCCCUACAUACAGGUCGGGUAAGACUCGAACUUUCACCCGCGGAACGAAUAUAUAUAUAUUUAUAAAUACAUAUUACAUGUUUUCAAGCCUAGAGGUUCAAGUAGUACAUGAUGAGAUUGGGGAAGGGCUUAGUUGGAUUUUUUAAUUUUAUUUUUAGUUUAAGGGAGGAAAUAGAUACAUAUAUACAUGCAAAAAUUCAUGCAUACACACAUGUAUAUGUGCCUGGCUCCCUGUAUGCCAUUUGCAGAGCCCACCGGAGCAUCGCUGGCCUCCGUGGAUGGCGUAUGAGGAGCCAAGCAUAUUCCAUGUUUUAUACAUGGAAUUAAUUCUUUUUCUUUUUUCCAAUUCUGGUCUCUUUGUAUUUCCAAAACGGCAGCGGAGAAAUUUUGGAUGUCUGAAUGGAGAGAAUAAUAGUAGCGCGGUUUCUGUGAAGAUAUAUAUUCCCAUCACCGAUGGUCUCAUGUGGCUUCCGUGAGACCGUAAUCAUUUCAUUACACAUGCAACGAGGUUUCCGUGAUAUAUGUAGCCAAAAAUUACGGUAAAUUAGAACUGUUCCUGACAACAUGGAAGUCACAACUACCAUGUUGCCCUUCCAUCUUGUUGAACGCUUAUCUGAUGGACACUUCAUAUGACCCCUGGUCAUAUGAUCAAUAUUGUCCUCAAAAGAAGCAACUGUGUCUCACAAUUUCACAAGCCAGUUUUCUCUUUUUUCAUGCAAAAACAAAAAAUCUUGGUUUAAUGGAUCAUCAGAAUUGAAUGUCGAUCAGCUUUGUUUUUGUUUAGGCCUAGUAGAUGAUGUUUUACUGCUGGCUUUAGCUUGAAGAAAGCAUAAAUACCAGAAAAAUAAAUCUAGGCUGUCUGAUCGAUGGAUCAUCAUGGCCGGCGUUCUGAGCCAGCCAUAUGAUCUAUGUUUUCUAUUUUGUGGGAGCUAGGGUAAUGAUCAUGUUAGUCCAGCUAUCUCCCUCCACUUAAGAAAUCAACAAUGGGGGAAAAGAAAUGCAUAAAUAAAUUAUGAAGGAAAAAAGAAAUGCAUAGAUAUCCUUAGGCUUAUGUGCAUUUCUCUUUUUCUUUUUCUGGCUAGCUAGUGUCUUUAGCAAUGGGCCUGGGCAGAUAUCUCAUCAUCUUGCCUGGGCAGGGCAUCGAGAAAGAAGAAAAAAAAAGGUAUGGAUUGUGGGAAAAGUAAAAGUGUUUGGCAGAAGGGAUUAUGAUUAUGGCUACUGGGGAAUCUCAUACAAGGAGUGGACCACCCUCUCUCUCUUUUUCCAUUGGCUCGCAGGGAAUAUGUUAUACGGUCAAAGCAGGUCAAAAAGGAAACAUCGGUCAGGCAAACAGAAGGGGACCACCUUUGUGAGAUCUCCUGGGAAAUCAAUUAUGGGAUUUUUGUUGCAUGUUUUUUUUCAAAUUUUCAAUUUCGUAGAGUAAAUACUACACCAACAUUCUCUUGGAGUAGCUAGGGCUAGCUACUAGUAGUGAAAUAAAAAAAAUAAGAGAGAAAAAAAAAAUGCUCGAGCUUGUGGGGUCUAUCUUCCUCAAUGUUGUUUGCUCUUUUACGUUUAUUGUACUCCUACUUGAUCUUACAAAGUAAUUCUACAUCCUUGUUCUAUCAA